GUCCUUCGGGUACAAUUGAGACAGGUGGUGCAUGGUUGUCGUCAGCUCGUGUCGUGAGAUGUUGGGUUAAGUCCCGCAACGAGCGCAACCCUUGUGUUUUAGUUGCAAACAGGUCAAGCUGUGCACUCUAGACAGACUGCCGUGGACAACACGGAGGAAGGUGGGGAUGACGUCAAAUCAUCAUGCCCCUUAUGAUCUGGGCUACACACGUGCUACAAUGGCCGGUACAACGGGCAGCGAAGGAGCGAUCCGGAGCGAAUCCUAAAAAGCCGGUCCCAGUUCGGAUUGCAGGCUGAAACUCGCCUACAUGAAGUUGGAGUUGCUAGUAAUCGCGAAUCAGAAUGUCGCGGUGAAUGCGUUCCCGGGUCUU
Molecule: ribosomal RNA, 370 nt
Filed under: uncultured Fusibacter sp.
Lineage: Bacteria; Bacillati; Bacillota; Clostridia; Eubacteriales; Fusibacteraceae
Description: bacterial SSU rRNA
Rfam family: Bacterial small subunit ribosomal RNA
Source: RNAcentral